UUGAACGCUGGCGGCGUGCUUAACACAUGCAAGUCGUGCGGUAACAGGCGUAGCAAUACGUGCUGACGAGCGGCGAACGGGUGCGUAAUACAUGGGAAUCUGCCCUUUAGUGGGGAAUAACCCGGCGAAAGCCGGGCUAAUGCCGCAUAAGAUCUUCGGAUGAAAGCGGGGGAUCGUAAGACCUCGCGCUGAUGGAUGAGCCCAUGUCGGAUUAGCUAGUUGGUGAGGUAACGGCUCACCAAGGCGACGAUCCGUAGCUGGUCUGAGAGGACGGCCAGCCACACUGGGACUGAGACACGGCCCAGACUCCUACGGGAGGCAGCAGUGGGGAAUAUUGGACAAUGGGGGAAACCCUGAUCCAGCGACGCCGCGUGUGUGAAGAAGGCCUGCGGGUUGU
RNAcentral lists this ribosomal RNA (397 nucleotides) under uncultured bacterium. Its description in RNAcentral is "bacterial SSU rRNA". It matches the Rfam family "Bacterial small subunit ribosomal RNA", at positions 30 to 426 of the family's 1533-position model. The record is from RNAcentral.